UUAGAGUUUGAUCCUGGCUCAAGACGAACUCUGGCGGCGCGCCUAACACAUGCAAGUCGAACGAGCGAGAGAGAGCUUGCUUUCUCGAGCGAGUGGCGAACGGGUGAGUAACGCGUGAGGAACCUGCCUCAAAGAGGGGGACAACAGUUGGAAACGACUGCUAAUACCGCAUAAGCCCACGGGUCGGCAUCGACCAGAGGGAAAAGGAGCAAUCCGCUUUGAGAUGGCCUCGCGUCCGAUUAGCUAGUUGGUGAGGUAAUGGCCCACCAAGGCAACGAUCGGUAGCCGGACUGAGAGGUUGAACGGCCACAUUGGGACUGAGACACGGCCCAGACUCCUACGGGAGGCAGCAGUGGGGAAUAUUGCACAAUGGGGGAAACCCUGAUGCAGCGACGCCGCGUGGAGGAAGAAGGUCUUCGGAUUGUAAACUCCUGUUGUUGAGGAAGAUAAUGACGGUACUCAACAAGGAAGUGACGGCUAACUACGUGCCAGCAGCCGCGGUAAAACGUAGGUCACAAGCGUUGUCCGGAAUUACUGGGUGUAAAGGGAGCGCAGGCGGGAAGACAAGUUGGAAGUGAAAUCUAUGGGCUCAACCCAUAAACUGCUUUCAAAACUGUUUUUCUUGAGUAGUGCAGAGGUAGGCGGAAUUCCCGGUGUAGCGGUGGAAUGCGUAGAUAUCGGGAGGAACACCAGUGGCGAAGGCGGCCUACUGGGCACCAACUAACGCUGAGGCUCGAAAGUGUGGGUAGCAAACAGGAUUAGAUACCCUGGUAGUCCACACCGUAAACGAUGAUUACUAGGUGUUGGAGGAUUGACCCCUUCAGUGCCGCAGUUAACACAAUAAGUAAUCCACCUGGGGAGUACGACCGCAAGGUUGAAACUCAAAGGAAUUGACGGGGGCCCGCACAGGCAGUGGAGUAUGUGGUUUAAUUCGACGCAACACGAAGAACCUUACCAAGUCUUGACAUCCUGCGACGAUGCUGGAAACAGUAUUUUCCUUCGGGACGCAGAGACAGGUGGUGCAUGGUUGUCGUCAGCUCGUGUCGUGAGAUGUUGGGUUAAGUCCCGCAACGAGCGCAACCCUUACUGUCAGUUACUACGCAAGAGGACUCUGGCAGGACUGCCGUUGACAAAACGGAGGAAGGUGGGGAUGACGUCAAAUCAUCAUGCCCUUUAUGACUUGGGCUACACACGUACUACAAUGGCGUUAAACAAAGAGAAGCAAGACCGCGAGGUGGAGCAAAACUCAGAAACAACGUCCCAGUUCGGACUGCAGGCUGCAACUCGCCUGCACGAAGUCGGAAUUGCUAGUAAUCGUGGAUCAGCAUGCCACGGUGAAUACGUUCCCGGGCCUUGCACA
Molecule: ribosomal RNA, 1360 nt
Filed under: uncultured bacterium
Lineage: Bacteria
Description: 16S ribosomal RNA
Rfam family: Bacterial small subunit ribosomal RNA
Source: RNAcentral